This 407-nucleotide ribosomal RNA is filed under the name uncultured Actinoplanes sp. Its description in RNAcentral is "bacterial SSU rRNA". It matches the Rfam family "Bacterial small subunit ribosomal RNA", at positions 355 to 774 of the family's 1533-position model. The record is from RNAcentral. Lineage: Bacteria; Bacillati; Actinomycetota; Actinomycetes; Micromonosporales; Micromonosporaceae.
UGGGGAAUAUUGCACAAUGGGCGGAAGCCUGAUGCAGCGACGCCGCGUGAGGGAUGACGGCCUUCGGGUUGUAAACCUCUUUCAGCAGGGACGAAGCGUAAGUGACGGUACCUGCAGAAGAAGCGCCGGCCAACUACGUGCCAGCAGCCGCGGUAAGACGUAGGGCGCGAGCGUUGUCCGGAUUUAUUGGGCGUAAAGAGCUCGUAGGCGGCUUGUCGCGUCGACUGUGAAAUCUCAGGGCUCAACUCUGACAUUGCAGUCGAUACGGGCAGGCUAGAGUUCGGUAGGGGAGACUGGAAUUCCUGGUGUAGCGGUGAAAUGCGCAGAUAUCAGGAGGAACACCGAUGGCGAAGGCAGGUCUCUGGGCCGAUACUGACGCUGAGGAGCGAAAGCGUGGGGAGCGAACA